GGAAGGCCUAGCUCAGCUCACCUCUGGAAAGGUCUCCAAGCUGUGUGAUCUGGGGAAUCGUGGAGGGGUUUUGAGCUCAGGUGUCUUCUGCCAGCUGGACUCUGAGACCCUGGCCUGCUGGGGCGAGGAUGAGGCUCUGAUGUGGUCUGGUCAACUCUGGGUUGGCCAUCUGCACCACAGGGCUCUAACAAGGGCCUGCUAUAGGCCAUGAGAACCACUGUAAGUGUCCUUGUUCGGCAAAUACUUACUCAUCCCCUGCUGUAUGCCCGGCAAUGUUCCAGGCACAGGAAUUCAUCGGAGAGCUAGAGAGGACAAGAUGUUGUCAUGGAGCUGCAGCAACUGAACGAAAAACCAUGAGAGCCCACGGAGGGCUUUGGAAGGGAUGAGGGAUGGCCUUUUCGAAGAGAGGCACUGGAGUUGAAACCUGAAUGGGACAAGAUCAGGUGGAAGAGGCUUCCAGACAGAGGGGGCAGCUCUGUCAAAAGGUCCCAAAGAAGGAGAAAUCUCAAUGUGUUUAAGAAACAGGUGGGGCUUCUGCCUCACACUCAUUCUAAAACCUUCAACCCCACAGCUUCUGCUUUAGGCAAUGGGGACACCUGGGAAACACAGUGUCAAGGAGCCCAUCUCCAUUUUAGAAAGACAGAGAUGCGUUCUGGGCCGUUGCCCGGGAAAGAAUGUCUACCAGGACAGUUCUGAGAAGGCUCAGCAUCAUAUCUAAACACAGGAAAGGAAUUCCCUGUUGGAAAAUUCAGGAUGACAACUGUGGGUAGCAAGCCAAGGCAAAGGGCAGAACGUGGAGCAGCAUUUGAGGCUCCAGCCAAUUCCAGCCUGUCUGCAGGCACUGCCUGCCUCCACGGCUGUCAGGUGUCGCCCCCAGGAGCUACGUAGGGCGAAGCUAGGCAGGCUUUCAGUGCCAGCUGUGGUUUCCCCAACAGCUCACAGGCCAGAGGCCCCGCCCAGGCCACCUCCUCCAGUCCCCCUGCCGCGGGGUGGUCUUCGGUGGUCUCACUCUCCCUCCCACUGCAUUUCCAUCUCUGCUGUAAUAUACCACCUCAGCCCUUCCUUUUUGAUUCCCAAGAGCAAAUUUUGGAAAUAAAGCAACCUGAAAACAUGCUGUUGCUCAUUUUAUGCCUCCUAUAUCCGUUCUCUCCCAAAUGACUAAUAGAAAGCUCCAGUCACCAAGAUCAACUUCUCUAAAUCCUACCUCCUUCCGCUUGUAAACACCAAGUGCCCCUAUGUGAUACCAUGGCACCAAGUGCCAUGACAGAAACCUCUGCAGGGCUCUGGAAGUCAAAGAACUGUUAAU
RNAcentral lists this long non-coding RNA (1306 nucleotides) under Homo sapiens (human). Its description in RNAcentral is "HSALNT0380200". Lineage: Eukaryota; Metazoa; Chordata; Mammalia; Primates; Hominidae. The record is from RNAcentral.